AAAGUCGUAACAAGGUUUCCGUAGGUGAACCUGCGGAAGGAUCAUUAAAGAUUCGACCUUCGGGUCUAUCUUCUCUUCAGCUGUGCGCUUCGGCUGCACGCUGUUGAACUUCACACACCUGUGCACACUUCGGUUGUGGCUGGUUAACUCUAGUCACUUCCGCUUUUACAUUUAACUACCAAGUCUAGAAUGUCAAAUACAAUAAAAAUAACAACUUUUAACAACGGAUCUCUUGGCUCUC
Molecule: unclassified non-coding RNA, 241 nt
Filed under: Basidiomycota sp.
Lineage: Eukaryota; Fungi; Basidiomycota
Description: partial contains small subunit ribosomal RNA, internal transcribed spacer 1, and 5.8S ribosomal RNA
Rfam family: Eukaryotic small subunit ribosomal RNA (bases 1-47)
Source: RNAcentral